This 107-nucleotide ribosomal RNA is filed under the name uncultured bacterium. RNAcentral's name for it is "partial 16S ribosomal RNA". It matches the Rfam family "Bacterial small subunit ribosomal RNA", at positions 1377 to 1482 of the family's 1533-position model. The record is from RNAcentral.
CCCGUUGUACACACCGCCCGUCACACCAUGGGAGUCUGUUGCACCGGAAGUAGCUAGCCUAACCGCGAAGGGGGGCGGUUACCACGGUGUGGCCGAUGACUGGGGUG